GAUGAACGCUGGCGGCGUGCCUAACACAUGCAAGUCGAACGGAGUCCCGCCUUUAAUACCUUCUGGUCAAAGAGGGGAAGACUGAGUGGCGGACGGGUGAGUAUCACGUGAGCAACCUGGCUCUUCGAGGGGGAUAACAGAGAGAAAUUUCUGCUAAUACCGCAUAAGCACACACUGCCGCAUGGCCGAGGGUGAAAAGAGAAGCGCUAUGAGAUGGACCCGCUUCUGAUUAGCGAGGUGGCAGGGUAAGAGCCUAGCAAAGCGACGAACAGUAGCCGAGAGGAGAGGAGGAACGGCCACAAUGGGAAUGAGACACGGACUAAACUGCGACGGGAGGGAGCAGUGGGGGAUAUAGCAGAAGGGAGGGAACCCUGAUGAAGCGACGCGGGGGGAGUGAAGAAGUAGUUCGGUAUGUAAAGCUCUAACAGAAGGGAAGAUAAUGACAGUAACUGAAUAAGAAGCACCGGCUAACUACGUG
RNAcentral lists this ribosomal RNA (478 nucleotides) under uncultured bacterium. Its description in RNAcentral is "partial 16S ribosomal RNA". It matches the Rfam family "Bacterial small subunit ribosomal RNA", at positions 28 to 507 of the family's 1533-position model. The record is from RNAcentral.